GUGAAGGAAUAAAACGGAAGUAUCAGUUUCCUUAACAGGAAGAACAGAAAGAUCAUGUUGAAUUUCUUCCAUAUGCUGAUCUGCAUCAAUCAAAGGUAUUACGUAUUACUUUGAAAUUGAGUAAUUACAUUCACUGCAUUAAAGUUUCCGGAUAAAUUGCUUGACAAAGUUCUUUACCUUCGACCUGAUAAUAUCAGGCAAACAUAGACGAAACAAAUGCAUGGGACCUGAAUGCCAUCUAUGCUGUUGUUUUCUGUAAGCUUCAUAUGAUUCAGGCAAUUCACAUUGGCACUAAAAAUGAGAUUAAAGCAUUAUCAAUAUACGAGAGAUGUCAUAAAAGCAUGCUUAAUUCUUGUGAAUUCCACUCUGCAGGUAAUAAUACCUCUACAUCAUUGAGGAAGAUAAAUUUCCAUCCAUGGAGAUGAGCUCGAACUGCAAUGUCCAUGUCUUCAACUGUCG
Molecule: long non-coding RNA, 459 nt
Filed under: Daucus carota (carrot)
Lineage: Eukaryota; Viridiplantae; Streptophyta; Magnoliopsida; Apiales; Apiaceae
Description: long non-coding RNA (DCAR_LNC004622)
Source: RNAcentral